UUCCCCUUCGGGGGGACAGGGUGACAGGUGGUGCAUGGUUGUCGUCAGCUCGUGUCGUGAGAUGUUGGGUUAAGUCCCGCAACGAGCGCAACCCUCGACCUUAGUUGCCAGCAUUCAGUUGGGCACUCUAAGGUGACUGCCGGCUAAAAGUCGGAGGAAGGUGGGGAUGACGUCAAAUCAUCAUGCCCCUUAUGACCUGGGCUACACACGUGCUACAAUGGGCGGUACAAAGGGUCGCGAACCCGCGAGGGGGAGCCAAUCCCAAAAAGCCGCUCUCAGUUCGGAUUGCAGGCUGCAACUCGCCUGCAUGAAGCCGGAAUCGCUAGUAAUCGCGGAUCAGCAUGCCGCGGUCGAAUACGUUCCCGGGCCUU
This 371-nucleotide ribosomal RNA is filed under the name uncultured Anoxybacillus sp. RNAcentral's name for it is "bacterial SSU rRNA". It matches the Rfam family "Bacterial small subunit ribosomal RNA", at positions 1013 to 1382 of the family's 1533-position model. The record is from RNAcentral. Lineage: Bacteria; Bacillati; Bacillota; Bacilli; Caryophanales; Anoxybacillaceae.